CCUACGGGUGGCAGCAGUGGGGAAUAUUCCACAAUGGGCGAAAGCCUGACGCAGCGACGCCGCGUGAGGGAUGAAGGUCUUCGGAUCGUAAACCUCUGUCAGCAGGGAAGAACGGUCACUGUGGUAAUUAGCAGUUAAUUGACGGUACCUGCAAAGGAAGCACCGGCUAACUCCGUGCCAGCAGCCGCGGUAAUACGGAGGGUGCGAGCGUUAACCGGAAUUACUGGGCGUAAAGCGCUCGUAGGCGGUACAUCAAGUCAAGGGUGAAAUCCCCGGGCUCAACGUGGGAACUGCCUUUGAAACUGGUGAACUGGAGUGUGGGAGAGGAUAGUGGAAUUCCAGGUGUAGGAGUGAAAUCCGUAGAUAUCUGGAGGAACAUCAGUGGCGAAGGCGACUAUCUGGCACAUAACUGACGCUGAGGAGCGAAAGCGUGGGUAGCAAACAGGAUUAGAUACCCUUGUAGUC
Molecule: ribosomal RNA, 465 nt
Filed under: uncultured bacterium
Lineage: Bacteria
Description: partial 16S ribosomal RNA
Rfam family: Bacterial small subunit ribosomal RNA
Source: RNAcentral